GCCUCCUAGAAGAGUCUGAUAGACAGAGUGAAGUUCAUAUUUCAAGGUCUUUUAAGAAGCUCAGCAAAGAAGAAAUUGAAGGUCUUCUUAGAGCUCAUAGUGAGAAAGUCAUUACACCAGGAACAAGACAACUCCAUAUCAGUCGAGCCAAUGUGUGGUCGACUGCUUUGCGUCAGUUCAAGAGACCCAAGUUUGCAGAAAGCUGUGAGAUGCUUUAUGUCACAUUUGCAAGCGAUGAACAUGAUACAGAGGAAGAUGCUGCUGACCUUGGGGGGGCCAAGGCGGGAGUUUUUCCGUUUACUGGUGAAGGCCAUCUUUCAGGACAGUGGUGCUUUUGAAGCUACACCAAAUGGAUGCACACUGAAAUUUAACAUCCUACACUUGCAAAAUGGAGUAUAUCGAACCAUUGGCAGGAUGUUGUCCACGAUAA
Long non-coding RNA from Maylandia zebra (zebra mbuna), 430 nucleotides. RefSeq lists it as uncharacterized. The record is from RefSeq and is a predicted model, not a curated record. NCBI's taxonomy places the organism in Eukaryota, Metazoa, Chordata, Actinopteri, Cichliformes, Cichlidae.